AUAUUGGACCAUGGGCGAAAGCCUGCAUCAUCCAUUCCGUAUGUGUGAAGAAGGUCUUUGGUUUGUAUAGUUUGUUAUGUUGGGAGGAAGGGAUGUAGAUUAAUACUCUGCAAUUUUGACGUUACCGAUAGAAUAAGCACCGGCUAACUUCGUGCAAUCAGCUGAGGUAAUACGAAGUGUGCAAGCGUUAAUCGGAAUUACUGGGCGUAAAGCGCGCGUAGGUGGUUCGUUAAGUUGGAUGUGAAAGCCCCGGGCUCAACCUGGGAACUGCAUCCAAAACUGGCGAGCUAGAGUACGGUAGAGGGUGGUGGAAUUUCCUGUGUAGCGGUGAAAUGCGUAGAUAUAGGAAGGAACACCAGUGGCGAAGGCGACCACCUGGACUGAUACUGACACUGAGGUGCGAAAGCGUGGGGAGCAAACAGG
RNAcentral lists this ribosomal RNA (423 nucleotides) under uncultured bacterium. RNAcentral's name for it is "partial 16S ribosomal RNA". It matches the Rfam family "Bacterial small subunit ribosomal RNA", at positions 361 to 776 of the family's 1533-position model. The record is from RNAcentral.